GAUGAACGCUGGCGGCGUGCCUAAUACAUGCAAGUCGAGCGAACGGACGAGAAGCUUGCUUCUCUGAUGUUAGCGGCGGACGGGUGAGUAACACGUGGAUAACCUACCUAUAAGACUGGGAUAACUUCGGGAAACCGGAGCUAAUACCGGAUAAUAUUUUGAACCGCAUGGUUCAAAAGUGAAAGACGGUCUUGCUGUCACUUCUAGAUGGAUCCGCGCUGCAUUAGCUAGUUGGUAAGGUAACGGCUUACCAAGGCAACGAUGCAUAGACGACCUGAGAGGGUGAUCGGCCACACUGGAACUGAGACACGGUCCAGACUCCUACGGGAGGCAGCAGUAGGGAAUCUUCCGCAAUGGGCGAAAGCCUGACGGAGCAACGCCGCGUGAGUGAUGAAGGUCUUCGGAUCGUAAAACUCUGUUAUUAGGGAAGAACAUAUGUGUAAGUAACUGUGCACAUCUUGACGGUACCUAAUCAGAAAGCCACGGCUAACUACGUG
This 497-nucleotide ribosomal RNA is filed under the name uncultured bacterium. RNAcentral's name for it is "partial 16S ribosomal RNA". It matches the Rfam family "Bacterial small subunit ribosomal RNA", at positions 28 to 507 of the family's 1533-position model. The record is from RNAcentral.